This 465-nucleotide ribosomal RNA is filed under the name Vreelandella stevensii. RNAcentral describes it as "partial 16S ribosomal RNA". It matches the Rfam family "Bacterial small subunit ribosomal RNA", at positions 338 to 795 of the family's 1533-position model. The record is from RNAcentral. Lineage: Bacteria; Pseudomonadati; Pseudomonadota; Gammaproteobacteria; Oceanospirillales; Halomonadaceae.
CCUACGGGAGGCAGCAGUGGGGAAUAUUGGACAAUGGGCGAAAGCCUGAUCCAGCCAUGCCGCGUGUGUGAAGAAGGCCUUCGGGUUGUAAGGCACUUUCAGUGGGGAAGAAAGCCUUGGGGCUAAUACCCUCGAGGAAGGACAUCACCCACAGAAGAAGCACCGGCUAACUCCGUGCCAGCAGUCGCGGUAAUACGGAGGGUGCGAGCGUUAAUCGGAAUUACUGGGCGUAAAGCGCGCGUAGGCGGUCUGAUAAGCCGGUUGUGAAAGCCCCGGGCUCAACCUGGGAACGGCAUCCGGAACUGUCAGGCUAGAGUGCAGGAGAGGAAGGUAGAAUUCCCGGUGUAGCGGUGAAAUGCGUAGAGAUCGGGAGGAAUACCAGUGGCGAAGGCGGUCUUCUGGACUGACACUGACGCUGAGGUGCGAAAGCGUGGGUAGCAAACAGGAUUAGAUACCCUAGUAGUC